This 447-nucleotide ribosomal RNA is filed under the name uncultured bacterium. RNAcentral describes it as "partial 16S ribosomal RNA". It matches the Rfam family "Bacterial small subunit ribosomal RNA", at positions 29 to 523 of the family's 1533-position model. The record is from RNAcentral.
AACGAACGCUGGCGGCAGGCUUAACACAUGCAAGUCGAGCGCCCCGCAAGGGGAGCGGCAGACGGGUGAGUAACACGUGGGAACAUACCCAUCUCUGCGGAACAACUCCGGGAAACUGGAGCUAAUACCGCAUACGCCCUUCGGGGGAAAGAUUUAUCGGAGAUGGAUUGGCCCGCGUUGGAUUAGCUAGUUGGUGGGGUAAAGGCCUACCAAGGUGACGAUCCAUAGCUGGUCUGAGAGGAUGAUCAGCCACAUUGGGACUGAGACACGGCCCAAACUCCUACGGGAGGCAGCAGUGGGGAAUAUUGGACAAUGGGCGCAAGCCUGAUCCAGCCAUGCCGCGUGAGUGAUGAAGGCCUUAGGGUUGUAAAGCUCUUUCACCGAUGAAGAUAAUGACGGUAGUCGGAGAAGAAGCCCCGGCUAACUUCGUGCCAGCCGCCGCGGUAA